This 1007-nucleotide ribosomal RNA is filed under the name Microbacterium foliorum. RNAcentral describes it as "bacterial SSU rRNA". It matches the Rfam family "Bacterial small subunit ribosomal RNA", at positions 26 to 1033 of the family's 1533-position model. The record is from RNAcentral. Lineage: Bacteria; Bacillati; Actinomycetota; Actinomycetes; Micrococcales; Microbacteriaceae.
CGGAAUGACGGCGCGCGUGCUUAACACUUGCAAGUCGAACGGUGAACACGGAGCUUGCUCUGUGGGAUCAGUGGCGAACGGGUGAGUAACACGUGAGCAACCUGCCCCUGACUCUGGGAUUAGCGCUGGAAACGGCGUCUAAUACUGGAUACGAGUAGCGGCCGCAUGGUCAGUUACUGGAAAGAUUUUUUGGUUGGGGAUGGGCUCGCGGCCUAUCAGCUUGUUGGUGAGGUAAUGGCUCACCAAGGCGUCGACGGGUAGCCGGCCUGAGAGGGUGACCGGCCACACUGGGACUGAGACACGGCCCAGACUCCUACGGGAGGCAGCAGUGGGGAAUAUUGCACAAUGGGCGAAAGCCUGAUGCAGCAACGCCGCGUGAGGGAUGACGGCCUUCGGGUUGUAAACCUCUUUUAGCAGGGAAGAAGCGAAAGUGACGGUACCUGCAGAAAAAGCGCCGGCUAACUACGUGCCAGCAGCCGCGGUAAUACGUAGGGCGCAAGCGUUAUCCGGAAUUAUUGGGCGUAAAGAGCUCGUAGGCGGUUUGUCGCGUCUGCUGUGAAAUCCCGAGGCUCAACCUCGGGCCUGCAGUGGGUACGGGCAGACUAGAGUGCGGUAGGGGAGAUUGGAAUUCCUGGUGUAGCGGUGGAAUGCGCAGAUAUCAGGAGGAACACCGAUGGCGAAGGCAGAUCUCUGGGCCGUAACUGACGCUGAGGAGCGAAAGGGUGGGGAGCAAACAGGCUUAGAUACCCUGGUAGUCCACCCCGUAAACGUUGGGAACUAGUUGUGGGGUCCAUUCCACGGAUUCCGUGACGCAGCUAACGCAUUAAGUUCCCCGCCUGGGGAGUACGGCCGCAAGGCUAAAACUCAAAGGAAUUGACGGGGACCCGCACAAGCGGCGGAGCAUGCGGAUUAAUUCGAUGCAACGCGAAGGAACCUUACCAAAGGCUUGAACAUAUAACGGAGGAAACGGCCAGAAAAUGGUCAACUCUUUGACACUUAGAUCUAGA